GGCGGACGUAGCUCAAUGGUAGAGCACAGCGUUGUUUAAAUAGCGUUUGAUUUCCCGAAGCGGUUGAUUCUCAAAACAGCGUUGAGAUGUGGGUUCGAAUCCCACCGUUGCCA
Non-coding RNA from Cephalotrichum gorgonifer, 113 nucleotides. The record is from the annotation of a GenBank genome assembly. Lineage: Eukaryota; Fungi; Ascomycota; Sordariomycetes; Microascales; Microascaceae.